UACGUAGGGGGCUAGCGUUGUCCGGAUUUAUUGGGCGUAAAGAGCGUGUAGGCGGCCAGAUAGGUCUGCUGUGAAAACUCGAGGCUCAACCUCGAGCUGUCGGCGGAAACCAUCUGGCUAGAGUCCGGAAGAGGAGAGUGGAAUUCCCGGUGUAGCGGUGAAAUGCGUAGAUAUCUGGAGGAACACCGGUGGCGAAGGCGGCAUCCUGGACCGGUAUUGACGCUGAGGCGCGAAAGCCAGGGGAGCAAACGGG
RNAcentral lists this ribosomal RNA (253 nucleotides) under uncultured bacterium. RNAcentral describes it as "partial 16S ribosomal RNA". It matches the Rfam family "Bacterial small subunit ribosomal RNA", at positions 524 to 776 of the family's 1533-position model. The record is from RNAcentral.